GUGCAGCAGUCGCGAAACCUCCGCAAUACACGAAAGUGUGACGGGCCAUCCCGAGUGCCGUCCGCUGAGGACGGCUUUUCCCCAGUGUACAUAGCUGGGGGAAUAAGGAGAGGGCAAGCCUGGUGUCAGCCGCCGCGGUAAUACCAGCUCUCCGAGUGGUGGGGACGCUUAUUGGGCCUAAAGCAUCCGUAGCCGGCUGGGCAAGUCCUCCGUUAAAUCCAACGAUUCAAUCGUUGGGCUGCGGGGGAUACUGUCCAGCUUGGGGGCGGGGAGGCCGACGGUAUUCCCGGGGUAGGGGUGAAAUCCUAUAAUCCCGGGAGGACCACCAGUGGCGAAGGCUGUCGGCUAGAACGCGCCCGACGGUGAGGGAUGAAAGCUGGGGGAGCGAACCGGAUUAGAUACCCGGGUAGU
This 411-nucleotide ribosomal RNA is filed under the name uncultured microorganism. RNAcentral describes it as "bacterial SSU rRNA". It matches the Rfam family "Archaeal small subunit ribosomal RNA", at positions 330 to 745 of the family's 1478-position model. The record is from RNAcentral.